RNAcentral lists this ribosomal RNA (254 nucleotides) under uncultured bacterium. RNAcentral's name for it is "partial 16S ribosomal RNA". It matches the Rfam family "Bacterial small subunit ribosomal RNA", at positions 524 to 776 of the family's 1533-position model. The record is from RNAcentral.
UACGUAGGGUGCAAGCGUUGUCCGGAAUUAUUGGGCGUAAAGAGCUCGUAGGCGGUCUGUCGCGUCUGCUGUGAAAACUCAGGGCUUAACCCUGAGCUUGCAGUGGGUACGGGCAGACUAGAGUGCGGUAGGGGAGACUGGAAUUCCUGGUGUAGCGGUGAAAUGCGUAGAUAUCGGGAGGAACACCAGUGGCGAAGGCGACUACCUGGCCUGUUUCUUGACGCUGAGGCGCGAAAGCUAGGGGAGCAAACGGG